AGGGAUGUAGCUCAAAGGUAGAGUACUUGUCUAACAUGCACAAAGCCCUGGAUUAAAUCCCCAGCAUCUCAA
RNAcentral lists this transfer RNA (72 nucleotides) under Cavia porcellus (domestic guinea pig). It matches the Rfam family "tRNA". Rfam says of the family: Transfer RNA (tRNA) molecules are approximately 80 nucleotides in length. Lineage: Eukaryota; Metazoa; Chordata; Mammalia; Rodentia; Caviidae. The record is from Rfam by way of RNAcentral.